GUGGGGCAGGCACUGAUCUCUUCCAUGUGGUGACCAGCAGUACCACCUGAGGGAACAGCAUGAAGCUGUGUCAGGGGAGAUUUCUCUCUACACCCCAAUAGCAUUGUCCCAACCUUGAGUUUGGGAAAAGAGAGGAGGGCAGAAGCUGGAGAAUGACUGUGCAUACCAAGGAGCGACAUUUCCUGCAGGAGAUAUCCCACCCUCAUUGUCUCUUCUCAUUAAACACUGUGCCUGGAAGGCCAACAGCA
Pipra filicauda (Wire-tailed manakin) is the source of this 248-nucleotide long non-coding RNA. RefSeq lists it as uncharacterized. The transcript has 2 exons. The record is from RefSeq and is a predicted model, not a curated record. NCBI's taxonomy places the organism in Eukaryota, Metazoa, Chordata, Aves, Passeriformes, Pipridae.